Molecule: long non-coding RNA, 1013 nt
Organism: Rhinolophus ferrumequinum (greater horseshoe bat)
Lineage: Eukaryota; Metazoa; Chordata; Mammalia; Chiroptera; Rhinolophidae
Exons: 3
Source: RefSeq, a predicted model, not a curated record
UCCACCGGGAAGGCCUACCUGUCUCCAGAUGGGGUACAUGGGAAAGUACAACUCCCAAGCCUGCCCAGGACUGAUGCGACAGCGCAAUGAAUGCAAAACCACUGGGUCAUUCAACAUGUAUUGAGCACCUACUAUGUGACUGUCCGCGCUCUGGGCACUGGGGAUACAGCAGUAGAUCAAAUGGAAAAGGCUCCUGUCCUGCAGGGGUGGAUGUGGCCACUGGGGGACAGAAUGUCAGGAAGGAAUGCGAGCUGGGACUAAAACAGAAAGCAAACCUCAGACAACCCAAAUGGCCACCAACAAGUGAAAGCACAAAGGAACGACAGUACAUCCAGACACCUGGAAACCUACUCAGUAAUUAAAGGAACGAGCCACCGGUACACGCAGCCACAUGGCUGACUCUAUGACACUGCUGAGUGAAAAAGGCCAGACACAGAUGAGGUCACUGUGGCACAGAGAGGCUGACUGACUUGCCCGAGGCCACACAGCUUGGAAGUACUGGAGGCUGAAAUUCAAGGAAGCUCCUGGAAGUGACCACCCACAGGGAGGAGACAACGGGGGUGUCUGCUAUGCCCAGUAUCUACCAGUUUUGUGACUUCAACCUGGUCUCAGUUCUUUCAUGUGCAAAAUGGGGCUGUUCCUAGUACCUGCCUCCUAGGGUUGUGGCCAGGAUAAAAUCAUUUGUGUGAAACAGUCCUUGGCACCUUGUAGGCAUGAGGUGCAACUUCUCUAUGUGUGUCUCUAAGGUAAGGGAUGGGAGUAGUUAGAUAUUUCAAAUGAUUUAAUAUCGAAACAGUUAUUUCCCAUCUUCCUCUUUCAAGCCUGUGGAUCAACUGAAGAGUAGCCAGAGCCGGUAAGAAAAACGAUGAAAGAAAAUACGGUUGCUAUUCUACGUACAACCCUUGUAUAUAUUCCUUGCGAUUUUUCACAAAACCGUGCAAAUAAGACAAAGUACAUAAAUGCAAUGAAUAUGAAGACCAUAGUCCUCUACAGCCUCUCAAUGCUUGUUUUAC